Molecule: ribosomal RNA, 481 nt
Filed under: uncultured bacterium
Lineage: Bacteria
Description: bacterial SSU rRNA
Rfam family: Bacterial small subunit ribosomal RNA
Source: RNAcentral
AUUGAACGCUGGCGGCAUGCCUUACACAUGCAAGUCGAACGGCAGCACGGGAGCAAUCCUGGUGGCGAGUGGCGAACGGGUGAGUAAUAUAUCGGAACGUGCCCGGUCGUGGGGGAUAACGUAGCGAAAGCUACGCUAAUACCGCAUACGAUCUACGGAUGAAAGCGGGGGAUCGCAAGACCUCGCGCGAUUGGAGCGGCCGAUAUCAGAUUAGCUAGUUGGUAAGGUAAAGGCUCACCAAGCCGACGAUCUGUAGCUGGUCUGAGAGGACGACCAGCCACACUGGGACUGAGACACGGCCCAGACUCCUACGGGAGGCAGCAGUGGGGAAUUUUGGACAAUGGACGCAAGUCUGAUCCAGCCAUUCCGCGUGCAGGAUGAAGGCCCUCGGUUGUAAACUGCUUUGUACGGAACGAAAGGUUUCUAUUAAUACUAGGAGCUCAUGACGGUACCGUAAGAAUAAGCACCGGCUAACUACGUG